Ornithodoros turicata is the source of this 1092-nucleotide long non-coding RNA. RefSeq lists it as uncharacterized. The transcript is spliced from 4 exons. NCBI's taxonomy places the organism in Eukaryota, Metazoa, Arthropoda, Arachnida, Ixodida, Argasidae. The record is from RefSeq and is a predicted model, not a curated record.
CAUGUGUGAAUCCAGCUUUAAAGAUUUGCACUGCCUCUGCAGCUAAGGAAGCCCUAGCGACAGUAACAUCACUCUGCACUGUUGUGCAGCCGUCACCAUAUCCUAGUAUUGGCACUGCUAAGUCAGAGUACAUGAAGCAUGCACCCUAAGGCUAACAUUUGGGAACCCAAGUUGGGAGUGCAUUAAUUGUGCAAGAGCUGUAGGAUACGUGUUGCAUGCUGAAACGGAACCAAAAGUAAACCGGAUAUUAAGGCAAGACAGGGCCGCCUCCGUCACGAGAAAACGGUUCUCUUACCCUAUCACCACCGUAGAGUUAACUCCGACAAAACUGUGAAGAAGCUAAGUACUGACCUCUUAUACGAUGUGGCAUCCGUUUGUUGCUGCUGAAGCAUCUUAGACAACUUGAGCACUUCUUCAUUGAGGAAACGAUUGUGGCUUUGGAGGAUUCGACACCUGUCGUUCAAUUUUUGAAAUCCCGUACCCUUCCACGGAGAAUAUCUGGAACACAACAAAUGGGAUGCUUAGUCAUCGCACGCUUCACCGCGAGGAACACGCAAUAUGGGAUAUCACCGAUGGGAUCAAAACAGAAGUGGUGAAGAUGGGAUGGAUGUGAGCUCAACCAGUGUUGCCAACAUGAGAUGCGUGGUACAUGUUUGUUUUCCUAGCAGUUAGGUUGCGUGAAAAACUGCGUUAUGAGCUGCAAGUCCAUCCACCUCCAGCACUAAAGCUGUGUUACUUCAGACAAGCUCCAUAGUUCCGCAAAAUUCAGCGAUACGUCCUAAUUUCAGCGCAUUUUCUGGGAAUUGCUGAAAAGUCUGAAUAUAUGAAUCCCGUCUGUACAUAUAUGAAUCCUCGCAUACGGCAUGCACCAUACGAUUGUUAGUGUACAUGACUCACUUGCGCUCUUCGCUCGAAGACUCCAUCAAAUGGAUCUGUUCGUGCAGUUCUGAGAGCAUCUCCUCCCUCUCAAUAAGCUCGUUCUUCUGAGAAGUUUCUCGAUUCAGGGCCUUGGCAAGCUCACACUUUGUUGCCCUGCAACAUAAUGAUGGUGAAGAUCUGGUGCAGGCUACGAUUAAGCAAUUAAUAAAUGGA